This 293-nucleotide ribosomal RNA is filed under the name uncultured bacterium. Its description in RNAcentral is "partial 16S ribosomal RNA". It matches the Rfam family "Bacterial small subunit ribosomal RNA", at positions 775 to 1067 of the family's 1533-position model. The record is from RNAcentral.
GGAUUAGAUACCCUGGUAGUCCACGCCGUAAACGAUGUCGACUAGCCGUUGGGGUCCUUGAGGCUUUAGUGGCGCAGCUAACGCGAUAAGUCGACCGCCUGGGGAGUACGGCCGCAAGGUUAAAACUCAAAUGAAUUGACGGGGGCCCGCACAAGCGGUGGAGCAUGUGGUUUAAUUCGAAGCAACGCGAAGAACCUUACCAGGUCUUGACAUCCUCGGAACUUGGCAGAGAUGCCUUGGUGCCUUCGGGAACCGAGUGACAGGUGCUGCAUGGCUGUCGUCAGCUCGUGCCG